CAGCAGCCGCGGUAAUACGGGGGGAGCAAGCGUUGUUCGGAUUUACUGGGCGUAAAGGGCGCGUAGGCGGCCGAGCAAGUCGGACGUGAAAUCCCCCGGCUCAACUGGGGAACUGCAUCCGAAACUGCACGGCUUGAGUCCUGGAGAGGGUUGUGGAAUUCCAGGUGUAGCGGUGAAAUGCGUAGAUAUCUGGAGGAACACCGGUGGCGAAGGCGACAUCCUGGACCGGUAUUGACGCUGAGGCGCGAAAGCCAGGGGAGCAAACGGGAUUAGAUACCCCGGUAGUCCUGGCCCUAAACGAUGAAUGCUUGGUGUGGCGGGUAUCGAUCCCUGCCGUGCCGAAGCUAACGCAUUAAGCAUUCCGCCUGGGGAGUACGGCCGCAAGGUUGAAACUCAAAGGAAUUGACGG
RNAcentral lists this ribosomal RNA (409 nucleotides) under uncultured bacterium. RNAcentral's name for it is "bacterial SSU rRNA". It matches the Rfam family "Bacterial small subunit ribosomal RNA", at positions 509 to 916 of the family's 1533-position model. The record is from RNAcentral.